AAAAAGGGCGCUCGUCGUUGCAUGUGAUUAUAUCGCAUAGCGAAGUUUGCAGGUCCCUGUGAACUUUGUAACAGUGCAGACGCAUUGCAGUAUUGUAGUCGAACAUUUGCAAACUCCUUUAACAUAGAUUUUUGUCUGUGUUUGAGGGAAUGCGGACGACAGCAAUUACUUCAGUGGGGUAUGGCUUUGCAUAUCCAGUGCAUAAUUUUUGUAAAAUGAAAGGCAAGGCUGGCCAAGAGAAUGGAUUGCAUUUAGUGAUUUCACUGAAUGAGUACCUUCUCGAGUACGCCUUGUUUUU
Non-coding RNA from Glossina morsitans morsitans, 298 nucleotides. The record is from Rfam. Lineage: Eukaryota; Metazoa; Arthropoda; Insecta; Diptera; Glossinidae.